This 346-nucleotide ribosomal RNA is filed under the name uncultured eukaryote. RNAcentral describes it as "SSU rRNA". It matches the Rfam family "Eukaryotic small subunit ribosomal RNA", at positions 594 to 945 of the family's 1831-position model. The record is from RNAcentral.
AUAGCGUAUAUUAAAGUUGUUGAGGUUAAAAAGCUCGUAGUUGAACCUUGGGCCUAGCCGGCCGGUCCGCCUCACCGCGUGCACUGGCUCGGCUGGGUCUUUCCUUCUGGAGAACCGCAUGCCCUUCACUGGGUGUGCUGGGGAACCAGGACUUUUACUCUGAACAAAUUAGAUCGCUUAAAGAAGGCCUAUGCUCGAAUACAUUAGCAUGGAAUAAUAGAAUAGGACGUGUGGUUCUAUUUUGUUGGUUUCUAGGACCGAAGUAAUGAUUAAUAGGGAUAGUUGGGGGCAUUAGUAUUUAAUUGUCAGAGGUGAAAUUCUUGGAUUUAUGAAAGACUAACUUCUG